RNAcentral lists this long non-coding RNA (732 nucleotides) under Mytilus galloprovincialis (Mediterranean mussel). Lineage: Eukaryota; Metazoa; Mollusca; Bivalvia; Mytilida; Mytilidae. The record is from RNAcentral.
UGUAAUGAUCCUGUAUGGGGGUGCGAGAGGCAAAAUAUCAACAGCUAAUAAAAUUACGUCCUUUAAUGGCACUUGCAAAACGAAAAAGAGACAGUACAUGUGAUUACGAUUACAUACAUGUAUAUAACAAAAUCAUAUACGGACUGAACAGUAUUUCCGGAAACGCGGAUUCAACCCCCUAUAUAUAUAUAUAUUACAUCCCCCCCGACAAAAGAAAAAUGUAAAUUUUGCUCAGGGUUGAAUUCGCUUUACAAUAUAUAUGCACCAACUCAUAUACAUCUCAAAACACAGCAUGAAAAAUUACAAUUAUCUGACGUUGCGAAAUCUCAACUUUUGAAAGUUAGUAGUUAAAUAUAUUUUUACAGAUCCGAAAUUGUUUCGUGAUACAUGUAUCAUUGAGUAAUAAAUUCAACAGAGCCCCUAACUCUUACAAUAUUGUGAAGAUGUCCUAUAAUGAUCACAUUUCAUAAGUUGCAAGUUUCAAAAAAAUAUAUCAACUAUCUCUCACAGAAUCAUGGUGCACCAAACCCAUUUACGCACACACACUCUCAUAAAAAAUAUAAAAUUGCUAACAGAUAAAACAUAUCAGAAAGAUACAAUUCACGGGGUUUAUUUAUGAAAUUAUUUCGAUAUCACUAACAUAGAUCCUAGAUAAUACACUCCUCAUAAAGUUCCAAAAGGACGUUAACUACAGAUUUCCGUCUUUAUACCAUGCAAAAAAAAAAAACAAAC